RNAcentral lists this long non-coding RNA (1690 nucleotides) under Marmota monax (woodchuck). Lineage: Eukaryota; Metazoa; Chordata; Mammalia; Rodentia; Sciuridae. The record is from RNAcentral.
AGGGAAACAGAGCCAGGCCUUGUGGGGGGCCAGGACUGACAACUGGCUCACCUGGGAAGGCACCUACUCCAGGGAAAGGGGCGGUGUUGAUUCUGCUUGGGCAGCCCCAAGCAAAGGUGUAUGUGUUGCCAAAAGGUCGGGGGAGCUGUUUUGGUUAAACCCAAGCCCUCUGUGUCUGCCUUACAGGGGUUUUUCUUGAUUGAGGAGUAGGUUGAGAGUGGAUAGGGUUGGGCUCUCUACCGAGCAUGGGAGGGUGACAGAGUCAAGCCCCAUACCUUUAGGGUAGCCAGGUAAUUUAGCUCUGGGUCACGUGCUGCCUGUCCCUUCUCCAGGUGGAAAGCCAUGAAGUCAGUCCACAGGGGCAGCCUCCGGCCACUAUGGAGCUCUUUUUGGAUUGAAUAUUGAGUGGGUUGUUGAGGGGGUGUGGGGAAGACCACUCCCCUCCCCGGGUGGGGGGCGCGGCCUCAGCCGCCCCGCCCCGCCCCGCUCCACCAGGUCCGGCCAGGCUGGUGCCGGGAGCCCGGAGCCCGGAGCCCGGAGCCCGGAACGGGCUGGGGAUCGGCGUUCUCGCCCUUAGGAAGUGGGCGCGCUGGAGCAGGAGCUUGGCGGGAGCUGGAGCGGCGGUGCAGGUGGCGCUAGGUGAGUGGCAGGGCGGUGGGGGUGCAGGAACCCCCACCUCCCGCACAUCUUCACUCCGGAGCGAACUUUCUGAGUCUGGGCAAGCUGAAGGUUAGUGUGAGAAGGGGUAGGGGUCCCUGCUCCGUGGGACGCAGGCGAAGAGUCCCAACAGCAAAGCGACAUAGAAACCGACGGACCUAAACACACGCGUGUACACAGACUCACGCAUGCACUUGGGACACAUGAACACACGUGCGUUCCGAAAGGACGCACCCAGUUGGAUACCCUAGCAGUCCGAGCGAUCCGCGCCGACCCCAGCGGGCAGGGUGAUGCUAAUUUAGUCGUGGAUGGGGGAAAGGGGACUCCCCGUGACCGCCAGCGGGGGCGGGCAGGGUGGGACCCAUCCGGAGGUUCCUGCUUCCCAGCCGCCUCCCUGCAGGUGAUAACCAAGACGUAAACAGGCGCCGAGCACGUGAUUGCUCCGCAGAUUGGUGGGCUGUGCUCCCCCAACCCCACCACAGGACCGCGACCAGGCCAGGGAGUUUGCUUGGUCAGGUGUGGGGCUGAUUCCAUCUGCCUGGAGCGGUGAUAAGCCCUCUUCUAGAAAUAGGAGCACAACGCCCCCUGGAGCCAGGGUGGAUGGGAGGCCGAGAGACUAUUAGGCUGGAAGGCGUUAUUUACUUGGACUUCUCACCUUACAGUUCCGAAACACUUUGCUGAAGUCCGCGUCCCUGAGGGUAUCGGAGGGAGGCCCUUGAUGACAGUGGACAGCUGCCCCCGUCCCUUACCCCCAGCCCAAGGGGCAGCUGCCUGUGGGUCCCUUUCUACCACCACGUCCACCUUUUGCAGAUCUGGGAGCUCCUCCUCGCAGAAUAGGUACCGAGAGCCCACCCGUGCAAGAGUGGGAGCCUCCUAUCCCCACAGGGAAUGCUAGAGAGUAAAUGACCCCUCAAUACCCAAGGGGCCUACCCCCUCUAGUAAGAAGGAAGAGCCCCCACCCCCGCCCCCAGGGAAUGAAGGAGGGGGCUGCAAUCCUGCCUUCCUCCCCGCCCCACCCCCACCCCUCCACACG